This 706-nucleotide ribosomal RNA is filed under the name Streptomyces sp. RNAcentral's name for it is "bacterial SSU rRNA". It matches the Rfam family "Bacterial small subunit ribosomal RNA", at positions 103 to 823 of the family's 1533-position model. Lineage: Bacteria; Bacillati; Actinomycetota; Actinomycetes; Kitasatosporales; Streptomycetaceae. The record is from RNAcentral.
CGGGUGAGUAACACGUGGGCAAUCUGCCCUGCACUCUGGGACAAGCCCUGGAAACGGGGUCUAAUACCGGAUAUGACCUUCCUCCGCAUGGGGGUGGGUGUAAAGCUCCGGCGGUGCAGGAUGAGCCCGCGGCCUAUCAGCUUGUUGGUGGGGUGAUGGCCUACCAAGGCGACGACGGGUAGCCGGCCUGAGAGGGCGACCGGCCACACUGGGACUGAGACACGGCCCAGACUCCUACGGGAGGCAGCAGUGGGGAAUAUUGCACAAUGGGCGAAAGCCUGAUGCAGCGACGCCGCGUGAGGGAUGACGGCCUUCGGGUUGUAAACCUCUUUCAGCAGGGAAGAAGCGCAAGUGACGGUACCUGCAGAAGAAGCACCGGCUAACUACGUGCCAGCAGCCGCGGUAAUACGUAGGGUGCGAGCGUUGUCCGGAAUUAUUGGGCGUAAAGAGCUCGUAGGCGGCUUGUCGCGUCGGAUGUGAAAGCCCGGGGCUUAACUCCGGGUCUGCAUUCGAUACGGGCAGGCUAGAGUUCGGUAGGGGAGAUCGGAAUUCCUGGUGUAGCGGUGAAAUGCGCAGAUAUCAGGAGGAACACCGGUGGCGAAGGCGGAUCUCUGGGCCGAUACUGACGCUGAGGAGCGAAAGCGUGGGGAGCGAACAGGAUUAGAUACCCUGGUAGUCCACGCCGUAAACGUUGGGAACUAGGUGU